RNAcentral lists this signal recognition particle RNA (329 nucleotides) under Candidatus Bathyarchaeota archaeon. Its description in RNAcentral is "signal recognition particle sRNA". It matches the Rfam family "Archaeal signal recognition particle RNA". Lineage: Archaea; Thermoproteati; Candidatus Bathyarchaeota. The record is from RNAcentral.
CGGUGGGUCUAGGCGGGGGGCUAGGGGUCCCCUGAAAACCCUUCACGGGUUUGACCGCAAACCCCCUACAUGGCGGGCCGAAAGCUGGAGUGAGGCGCACCCAGCCCCACCCAAAAUCAGCCAAACCUUCCCAUGAACAUCUGUCCUCCAGGGUCCGCGGAAGCAGUCGCCUCAACCGUAGGGUUGGGGUGGCUGCUUUACCAGACAAACCUGGCUAGGCCCGGGAGGGAGCAACCUAAGUCUGGACGUUGGAUGCUUGGAGGGGUGCGGGUGUGAGGGAGGAUGUCUGAUUGGGGUGGGGUAUGGGCGUCGAACUCCAGGACCCACCG